UACAGAGGGUGCUAGCGUUGUUCGGAAUUAUUGGGCGUAAAGGGCGCGUAGGCGGCGCCGUAUGUCGGGUGUGAAAGCCCACCUCUUAAAGGUGGAAUUGCAUUCGAAACUACGGCGCUCGAGUCUCGGAGAGGAUGGCGGAAUUCCUGGUGUAGAGGUGAAAUUCGUAGAUAUCAGGAGGAACACCGGUGGCGAAGGCGGCCAUCUGGACGAAGACUGACGCUGAGGCGCGAAAGCGUGGGGAUCAAACAGG
Molecule: ribosomal RNA, 253 nt
Filed under: uncultured prokaryote
Description: partial 16S ribosomal RNA
Rfam family: Bacterial small subunit ribosomal RNA
Source: RNAcentral